AUUGAACGCUGGCGGCAUGCUUUACCACAUGCAAGUCCGGACGGCAGCGGGGGUGCUUGCACCUGCCGGCGAGUGGCGAACGGGUGAGUCAACGUAUUGGAAUGUACCGAGUAGUGGGGGAUAACCAAUCCGAAAGAUUGGCUAAUACCGCAUACGUCCCUGAGGGGGAAAGCAGGGGAUCUUCGGACCUUGCGCUAUUUGAGCAGCCAAUAUCUGAUUAGCUAGUUGGUGGGGUCAAAGGCCCACCAAGGCGACGAUCAGUAGCGGGUCUGAGAGGAUGAUCCGCCACAUCUGGGACUGAGACACGGCCCCCCACUCCUACGGGGAGGCAGCAGUGGGGAAUUUUGGACAAUGGGGGCAACCCUGAUCCAGCCAUGCCGCGUGUCCUGAAGAAGGCCUUCCGGGUUGUAAAGGACUUUUGUUAGGGAAGAAAAGGGAAGUGUUAAUACCACUUUUUGCUGACGGUACCUAAAGAAUAAGCACCGGCUAACUACGUGCCAGCAGCCGCGGUAAUACGUAGGGUGCGAGCGUUAAUCGGAAUUACUGGGCGUAAAGCGAGCGCAGACGGUUACUUAAGCAGGAUGUGAAAUCCCCGGGCUCAACCUGGGAACUGCGUUCUGAACUGGGUAGCUAGAGUAUGUCAGAGGGGGGUAGAAUUCCACGUGUAGCAGUGAAAUGCGUAGAGAUGUGGAGGAAUACCGAUGGCGAAGGCAGCCCCCUGGGAUAAUACUGACGUUCAUGCUCGAAAGCGUGGGUAGCAAACAGGAUUAGAUACCCUGGUAGUCCACGCCCUAAACGAUGUCGAUUAGCUGUUGGGCAACUUGAUUGCUUAGUAGCGUAGCUAACGCGUGAAAUCGACCGCCUGGGGAGUACGGUCGCAAGAUUAAAACUCAAAGGAGUUGACGGGGACCCGCACAAGCGGUGGAUGAUGUGGAUUAAUUCGAUGCAACGCGAAGAACCUUACCUGGUCUUGACAUGUACGGAAGAACUCAGAGACGAGUGGGUGCCUCCGGGAGCCGUAACACAGGUGCUGCAUGGCUGUCGUCAGCUCGUGUGUGAGAUGUGGGCUUAGUCCGCCACGAG
Molecule: ribosomal RNA, 1083 nt
Filed under: Kingella denitrificans
Lineage: Bacteria; Pseudomonadati; Pseudomonadota; Betaproteobacteria; Neisseriales; Neisseriaceae
Description: bacterial SSU rRNA
Rfam family: Bacterial small subunit ribosomal RNA
Source: RNAcentral